RNAcentral lists this ribosomal RNA (253 nucleotides) under uncultured bacterium. Its description in RNAcentral is "partial 16S ribosomal RNA". It matches the Rfam family "Bacterial small subunit ribosomal RNA", at positions 524 to 776 of the family's 1533-position model. The record is from RNAcentral.
UACGUAGGGGGCAAGCGUUGUCCGGAAUCAUUGGGCGUAAAACGCGCGUAGGCGGCUAGAUCAGUCUGCUGUAAAAGUCAAAGGCUCAACCUUUGAAAGCCGGUGGAUACUGUCUAGCUAGAGUCCGGAAGAGGCGAGUGGAAUUCCUGGUGUAGCGGUGGAAUGCGCAGAUAUCAGGAGGAACACCAACGGCGAAGGCAGCUCGCUGGGACGGUACUGACGCUAAGGCGCGAAAGCGUGGGGAGCGAACAGG